RNAcentral lists this ribosomal RNA (428 nucleotides) under uncultured bacterium. RNAcentral describes it as "bacterial SSU rRNA". It matches the Rfam family "Bacterial small subunit ribosomal RNA", at positions 28 to 502 of the family's 1533-position model. The record is from RNAcentral.
GAUGAACGCUGGCGGCGUGCUUAACACAUGCAAGUCGAACGGACCCUUUCGGGGGUUAGUGGCGGACGGGUGAGUAACACGUGAGAAUCUGCCCAUAGGACGGGGACAACAGUGGGAAACUGCUGCUAAUACCGGAUGAGCCGAGAGGUAAAACAUUUAUGGCCUAUGGAGGAGCUCGCGACUGAUUAGCUAGUUGGUGGGGUAAAGGCCUACCAAGGCGACGAUCAGUAGCUGGUCUGAGAGGAUGAUCAGCCACACUGGGACUGAGACACGGCCCAGACUCCUACGGGAGGCAGCAGUGGGAAUUUUCGCAAUGGGGGCAACCCUGACGGAGCAACGCCGCGUGAGGGAAGAAUGGUUGUGGCCAGUAAACCUCUUUUAAUAGGGAAGAAUUCUGACGGUACCUAUUGAAUAAGCAUCGGCUAAAC